CCUACGGGAGGCCGCAGUGGGGAAUAUUGCACAAUGGGGGAAACCCUGAUGCAGCGACGCCGCGUGAGUGAAGAAGUAAUUCGUUAUGUAAAGCUCUAUCAGCAGGGAAGAAAAUGACGGUACCUGAGUAAGAAGCCCCGGCUAACUACGUUCCAGCCGCCGCGGUAAUAAGUAGGGGGCAAGCGUUAUCCGGAUUUACUGGGUGUAAAGGGAGCGUAGACGGGAGUGCAAGUCUGGAGUGAAAGGCGGGGGCUCAACCCCCGGACUGCUCUGGAAACUGUACGGCUGGAGUGCAGGAGAGGUAAGUGGAAUUCCUAGUGUAGCGGUGAAAUGCGUAGAUAUUAGGAGGAACACCAGUGGCGAAGGCGGCUUACUGGACUGUAACUGACGUUGAGGCUCGAAAGCGUGGGGAGCAAACAGGAUUAGAUACCCCGGUAGUC
Molecule: ribosomal RNA, 440 nt
Filed under: uncultured bacterium
Lineage: Bacteria
Description: partial 16S ribosomal RNA
Rfam family: Bacterial small subunit ribosomal RNA
Source: RNAcentral